This 950-nucleotide ribosomal RNA is filed under the name Escherichia coli. RNAcentral's name for it is "partial 23S ribosomal RNA". It matches the Rfam family "Bacterial large subunit ribosomal RNA", at positions 957 to 1890 of the family's 2925-position model. The record is from RNAcentral. Lineage: Bacteria; Pseudomonadati; Pseudomonadota; Gammaproteobacteria; Enterobacterales; Enterobacteriaceae.
CGAAUACCGGAGAAUGUUAUCACGGGAGACACACGGCGGGUGCUAACGUCCGUCGUGAAGAGGGAAACAACCCAGACCGCCAGCUAAGGUCCCAAAGUCAUGGUUAAGUGGGAAACGAUGUGGGAAGGCCCAGACAGCCAGGAUGUUGGCUUAGAAGCAGCCAUCAUUUAAAGAAAGCGUAAUAGCUCACUGGUCGAGUCGGCCUGCGCGGAAGAUGUAACGGGGCUAAACCAUGCACCGAAGCUGCGGCAGCGACGCUUAUGCGUUGUUGGGUAGGGGAGCGUUCUGUAAGCCUGUGAAGGUGUGCUGUGAGGCAUGCUGGAGGUAUCAGAAGUGCGAAUGCUGACAUAAGUAACGAUAAAGCGGGUGAAAAGCCCGCUCGCCGGAAGACCAAGGGUUCCUGUCCAACGUUAAUCGGGGCAGGGUGAGUCGACCCCUAAGGCGAGGCCGAAAGGCGUAGUCGAUGGGAAACAGGUUAAUAUUCCUGUACUUGGUGUUACUGCGAAGGGGGGACGGAGAAGGCUAUGUUGGCCGGGCGACGGUUGUCCCGGUUUAAGCGUGUAGGCUGGUUUUCCAGGCAAAUCCGGAAAAUCAAGGCUGAGGCGUGAUGACGAGGCACUACGGUGCUGAAGCAACAAAUGCCCUGCUUCCAGGAAAAGCCUCUAAGCAUCAGGUAACAUCAAAUCGUACCCCAAACCGACACAGGUGGUCAGGUAGAGAAUACCAAGGCGCUUGAGAGAACUCGGGUGAAGGAACUAGGCAAAAUGGUGCCGUAACUUCGGGAGAAGGCACGCUGAUAUGUAGGUGAAGUCCCUCGCGGAUGGAGCUGAAAUCAGUCGAAGAUACCAGCUGGCUGCAACUGUUUAUUAAAAACACAGCACUGUGCAAACACGAAAGUGGACGUAUACGGUGUGACGCCUGCCCGGUGCCGGAAGGUUAAUUGAUGGGGU